This is a long non-coding RNA of Dunckerocampus dactyliophorus (ringed pipefish), 662 nucleotides long. RefSeq lists it as uncharacterized. NCBI's taxonomy places the organism in Eukaryota, Metazoa, Chordata, Actinopteri, Syngnathiformes, Syngnathidae. The transcript is spliced from 3 exons. The record is from RefSeq and is a predicted model, not a curated record.
CUGAAGCCACAUCCAGAUGGUUGACAUAGAUACCAAAGCAUAAUACUGUUGGAUCACUCGUUGCUGGAAAACAGUUAGUAACAGUUAGUAACCCAGCCUUGGCUGUGACAGACGCUGGAUAUUUAAAGCAGAUCAGGAGCAAAGUAAUGAGAAAACAAAGUAGUAAACGAGAGGGAGAGUAUGCGGCUGACUAAUCAAGUGAGUGAAUGAGCUGAUCACUGGAAGCUCUGAGCUCUCCUCUCUGUAAUCAUCACACCGACUGCCUCAUGCCUGCUCGGGAAGGACGAGCGAGGAGAGAAAGAGUCACGGCCUGGGGGAAGAAACUGUCUCUGUGCUCUGCUGAAGUCCGCUGUCAUCCCCGCACUCUUCAGCUGGUUCAGCUCCAGAUGGUCCUGACCACACCAGAGGACCAGCUGGUCCACCUCCCGUCUGUAUGCAGACUCCUGCACACCAUCCCGGGUGAGACUGAUGAGUGUCGUGUCACGUGUAACAUGUUGCUUGGCCUGUUGAAAUGUUUUUGACUGAAAUAUCUGUUACUUUCAGUAAACAUGACCUGUUUUGUGCGCAUGUGCAUUACUUCCCGGACGCAUGACCUUCACAUUUGCAAGUUGCGUUUUUUUUUGGUAAUGUGAACGACUACAUAAAAGAUCAGAUUUUAACAA